AACGAGGCCGACCUGCGGCUGAGUUACCUGCGGAAGGAUCAUUAUUGAAUAAAUUUGGUUGGGUUGUUGCUGGCUCUUAGGAGCAUGUGCACGCUCAUUCCAUCUUUAACCACCUGUGCACCUUGUGUAGAUCUGAACAACUCUCGGGGAAACUCGGUUAGAGGAUUGCUGCGUGUAAAAGCCGGCUUUCCUUGCGUUCAGAUCUAUGUCUUUAUAUACUCCAUAAGAAUGUAUUAGAAU
RNAcentral lists this unclassified non-coding RNA (240 nucleotides) under soil metagenome. RNAcentral describes it as "partial contains 5.8S ribosomal RNA, internal transcribed spacer 2, and large subunit ribosomal RNA". The record is from RNAcentral.